CACAUAUAUAAAAAAAUUUUCCGACCAGAUAAUUGUUCUCACACGAUAUGAUACUCGAAUAAUAUUCAUACGGAGUUACGGACCAUACCGUUUACACCGAGGGUUCUCUCUUUGUCUGUUCACUGUUCUACUGGGACGACCCCAAAUCCCCAAAUCGAAAGGGGCCGUCCGGCUCAGGGUUUCUCGACGGCUCCUUGCCCUCUCCGCCAUGGACGCACAGCGAGCCCUCCUUGACGAGCUCAUGGGCACAGCUCGCAACCUAACGGAGGAGGAGAAGAAGGGGCACAAAGAGCUGAAGUGGGACGAUCCGGACGUGUGCGGCCCUUACAUGGUUCGGUUCUGUCCUCACGACCUUUUCGUCAACACCAAGAGCAAUAUCGGGCCGUGCUCGAGGAUCCACGAUCCGAAGCUCAAGGAAAGCUUUGAGAAGUCUCCUAGGCACGAUACUUAUAUGCAAAGGUUUGAGGCAGAGCUUGCACAACAAUGUGAGAAAUUGGUAAUGGACUUAGAUAGAAAGAUAAGGCGUGGUCGAGAAAGGCUGGCUCACGAUUCUGCUGUGCCAAUGCCAAUCCCUGGAAAAUUAGCUGAGCUGCUUUCAGUGCGAAAAGAACAGGUGAAGAAGCUGCUGGAGCAAAUUGAGGAGCUUGGUGAGGCUGGUAAAGUGGAUGAAGCUGAGGCACUUAUGAGAAGGGUUGACAUUUUAAACGCUGAGAAGACAGCUUUAGCUAACGAAGCAGACAACAAAGUAGCUAUGCUUGAGAAGAAGAUGGAACUUUGUGAAACAUGUGGAUCAUUCUUAGUUGCUGAUGAUGCUCUUGAGAGAACGCAGUCCCAUGUGACUGGGAAACAACACAUUGGUUAUGGCAUGGUUAGGGAUUUCCUGGCAGAAUACAAGGCAGCAAAAGAGAAGACAAAAGAGGAAGAGCGGCUUGCAAGGGAGCAGAAAGCAGAGGAGCAUCGGAAACAGAGGGGAAAAGAGUAUGAUAGUGGGGGCAGGGAUAGAGAUACCAGAAGGGAGAGGUCUGGGGAGCGUGACUUUGACCGUGAUCGUCAGUAUGAGCGAAGCAGAGGAAGAGAUAGGGUUUAUGAUUACAGGGACAGAGGAUCAGAACACCGAAGCAAUCGCUACAGAAAUGGGAGGGAUUCUGAAAGAGGUGGACACAGAUACAGGAGUGGUGGUAUGACAAAUGACCGAGGGAGAAUGAGGAGCAGAUCACGUUCUCCAACCAGGCAUGGCUAUGGAAGAUCUAGAAGUCCAGAUCAUUAGCUGCCUAGCUGGACAUUUAGAUAGUUUUAUUCACAGUUGGGACUCAUGAGCUCUGUUGGAACCCUACAGUCUCCCUAUUUUGCAUGGGGAAAAAUUCCCAGUUAAAUUUAGUAAGGCCGGUACUGGAUUUCAUAUAUGGAUGAUGAUGUUUACAGCUUAUAGCAGUGUACAAGAGAUCAAGCUUUGGUUUGUAGACAAUGGUGCCCUGGCUAGAACCGCGAGGAUUGGGCCUAUUUCCUGACUGUCUAGUUAUUGUCUCAGAAGUCUGGUUUAGAUAAGGUUCUGUUUCCGCGGCAAACUAUUAGAUACCUUUGCAGUUGCGGAGUUCUGUAAUUGAUGUAUUAUUUAUGCAGAUAGUGUAGUCUAACUAUGCAAACUAAUAUAUGAUCUGUUUCAGAGUUUUGAGAUAUUCCGUAUGAUUGGUUGUCUGCACCGUCUCAUUUUGGAUCACUCCAUAUCCUGUCCCGCAUCGCGCGAGCCUGCACCUCUGCGAGCAGCCAUCUAAUCAGCCGGAUUAUGUUUUGGAUCAAUUGGCACCACAAUCUUGUUGGAGCAGCGUCUACUGAAGUUAUGUUGUUUGCAUGACAUUUCUGAUUCCUGUGCCUUUUUUCACUUACAGCCUGUUUGGAUGCCUAGAAAUGAAUCUUUUUCAAGAAAUAAAUUCCAAGAAAUGAAUUAUAUAGAA
RNA transcript from Zea mays, 1952 nucleotides. It is a transcript of the gene named LUC7 N_terminus domain-containing protein, with no coding region annotated. Lineage: Eukaryota; Viridiplantae; Streptophyta; Magnoliopsida; Poales; Poaceae. The transcript has 11 exons. The record is from RefSeq and is marked provisional.